CGUCUCAGAGGCUGUCUGUGCAGGAAGUCCCGCCUCUGUUGAAUGGUGACAGUCGUCCUCAGCAGCAGCAGCGCUCGUCUCAGUCUGUCCCGGGCCUUCAGUCUCACCCGAACCCCUCCAGUAAUGGACACGCCCAGUCCGCUUCUUCAGCCAGCUCCGCCCACUCACAGACAGCAGUGGGCGUGUCUGGGUUACAGUCUCCUCCCUCCAUUACCCACACCUCCACCUCCUCCCACAGUUCCCUGCUGGGCCUGACUCCGCCCCUAAUGGCCCCCCACAGUGCCCCUCUGUCCCGCGCGCUCACACCCGUCCUGCUGUCCGGCUCUGCCGCUGCUGUCGGUGUGCUGAAGGCUCCUGAUCUCUACUCCACCUCCACACUGCCGCUGCCGAGGAGACAGUCCAGCGAGACUCGUCAGGGAUUCAUGGGCUCGACUCUUCCCCGAGUGCUUCCGCUCUGUGCUCCGCCCCGUGUGGAGGCUCUGUUCCCUCACUCCACAGACUCCUGCGAGGCAGAGAAGCCAGGAGACCGAGGAGGAAGCUCAUGUCUGCUGUCCUUCCUCCCUGGAGACGCUCUGUCCCUGCUGAUCAGUGAACCCAGAGACGGCUGGCACUACGGACAGAACGAGCGCUCGGGACGGUAUCUGACCAUCAGCCUUUCAGUCAGGGACAGUUAAAGUGCCCCUAUUGUGCCUUUUCGAAUAUUACCUUUCAUGCAGUGUGUGCAUGUAGCUGAAUGUGAACAUAAACUAUCUGCGAGGUUGUGAAGCCGACAGUGCACGAUAAAUAAAGGUAUUGUCUAUCAAAAAAAAGAGUCGGCUCGCAAUCGCCUAAACGAGUCGUCAGGAAUUCGAAUCUUAUUCUGUUACGGCUCUACGUCACGAAGUAACACAUUUGCAUAAUGUCCGCCCACGUUCUACGUCGCCAACUUGCCUUCUCGACAUAACAUUUCCGUCAUGUCGAGAAGACGCUGUAUCCUGUAUCCAAUCCAGAGCAAGCUCUCUACGGCUCUGGACCAAUCACAAAGGACUGCGCCAUCUGACCAAUCACAGCAGUGAGGGCUCGUUUACGAAUCAUUUAGAAAUGAGGUCAAAUGAAAUCAGUUUUUUGAGAAAACUAAUGUGUUUUUUGACCUUGCAUGCAUGUAAACCUGUUUUAGGAGACUCAUAAAACAUUAUUAGCAACCUUAAAAAUGGCAUAAUAGGGGCACUUUAAACAUUAGCUAUGCGUCAUUUUCAUACUGAUUUGUGGUGCAGAACUAUAUAAUUAUCAGCAGCAAUAUGAGGGGCCUGUUCCUAGAACAAAGCUUAUAUGGUCAUUUUGCAAUGGAUUGGCAUAAACCAAGAUUUUCCAUUUGUUCAAAGCAAGUUUAAAGCCUGUUCACACCAAGAGUGAAGACCUUCGAAACAAUGCUUUCGUUUGGACCUCACGCCAGGG
RNAcentral lists this long non-coding RNA (1434 nucleotides) under Sinocyclocheilus grahami. Its description in RNAcentral is "lncRNA (ENSSGRG00000011848.1)". Lineage: Eukaryota; Metazoa; Chordata; Actinopteri; Cypriniformes; Cyprinidae. The record is from RNAcentral.